CAGCCGCCACGGGAACACGUAGGGUGCGAGCGUUAAUCGGAAUUACUGGGCGUAAAGCGUGCGCAGGCGGUUCGUUAAGACAGAUGUGAAAUCCCCGGGCUUAACCUGGGAACUGCAUUUGUGACUGACGGGCUAGAGUAUGGCAGAGGGGGGUAGAAUUCCACGUGUAGCAGUGAAAUGCGUAGAGAUGUGGAGGAAUACCGAUGGCGAAGGCAGCCCCCUGGGCCAAUACUGACGCUCAUGCACGAAAGCGUGGGGAGCAAACAGGAUUAGAUACCCCCGUAGUCCCUGUCUCUUAUAC
RNAcentral lists this ribosomal RNA (301 nucleotides) under uncultured bacterium. RNAcentral describes it as "partial 16S ribosomal RNA". It matches the Rfam family "Bacterial small subunit ribosomal RNA", at positions 509 to 807 of the family's 1533-position model. The record is from RNAcentral.